GUUAUAUGGUCAAGCGAUUAAGCGCACACGGUGGAUGCCUUGGCAGCCAGAGGCGAUGAAGGACGUUGUAGCCUGCGAAAAGGCUCGGUGAGGUGGCAAACAACCUGUGACCCGGGCAUGUCCGAAUGGGGAAACCCACCCAGCAUAAGCUGGGUAUCCCACACUGAAUCCAUAGGUGUUGGGAAGCGAACCGGGGGAACUGAAACAUCUAAGUACCCCGAGGAAAAGAAAUCAACCGAGAUUCCCCCAGUAGCGGCGAGCGAACGGGGAGUAGCCCUUAAGCAG
This 285-nucleotide ribosomal RNA is filed under the name Gammaproteobacteria bacterium MFB021. RNAcentral describes it as "partial 23S ribosomal RNA". It matches the Rfam family "Bacterial large subunit ribosomal RNA", at positions 1 to 278 of the family's 2925-position model. The record is from RNAcentral. Lineage: Bacteria; Pseudomonadati; Pseudomonadota; Gammaproteobacteria.